AGAGUUUGAUUCUGGCUCAGAUUGAACGCUGGCGGCAUGCCUAACACAUGCAAGUCGAACGGCAGCACGGUUCUGGUUUACCAGAAUGGGUGGCGAGUGGCGGACGGGUGAGUAAAGCAUAGGAAUCUGCCGAUAAGAGGGGGAUAACUGAGGGAAACUUCAGCUAAUACCACAUAAUGUCUACGGACCAAACGCAGGGGAUCUAGAGAUAGACCUUGCGCUUAUUGAGGAGCCUAUGUCGGAUUAGCUAGUUGGUAGGGUAAAGGCCUACCAAGGCGAAGAUCUGUAGCUGGUCUGAGAGGAUGGCCAGCCACACUGGGACUGAGACACGGCCCAGACUCCUACGGGAGGCAGCAGUGGGGAAUAUUGGACAAUGGGGGCAACCCUGAUCCAGCAAUGCCGCGUGAGUGAAGAAGGCCUUAGGGUUGUAAAGCUCUUUUGUAGGGGAGGAAAGGGCUUGUGUGAAUAACACGAGCCUAUGACGUUACCCUAAGAAUAAGCACCGGCUAACUCUGUGCCAGCAGCCGCGGUAAUACAGAGGGUGCGAGCGUUAAUCGGAAUGACUGGGCGUAAAGGGUGCGUAGGUCGUUUGUUAAGUUAGCUGUGAAAUCCCUGGGCUUAACCUGGGAAUUGCAGCUAAAACUGAUGAACUCGAGUAGGUGAGAGGAGUGUGGAAUUUCCGGUGUAGCGGUGAAAUGCGUAGAGAUCGGAAAGAACACCGGUGGCGAAGGCGGCACUCUGGUACCAUACUGACACUGAGGCACGAAGGCGUGGGGAGCAAACAGGAUUAGAUACCCUGGUAGUCCACGCAGUAAACGAUGAGAACUGGAUGAGGGAGGGGUUAAACCCUUCCGUAUCGAAGCUAACGCGUUAAGUUCUCCGCCUGGGGAGUACGGCCGCAAGGUUAAAACUCAAAGAAAUUGACGGGGGCCCGCACAAGCGGUGGAGUAUGUGGUUUAAUUCGAUGCAACGCGAAGAACCUUACCUGGUCUUGACAUGUCAGAAAUCUUACAGAGAUGUGGGAGUGCCUUCGGGAAUCUGAACACAGGUGCUGCAUGGCUGUCGUCAGCUCGUGUCGUGAGAUGUUGGGUUAAGUCCCGCAACGAGCGCAACCCUUAUUUUUAAUUGCCAUCAUUAAGUUGGGAACUUUAAAGAGACUGCCGGUGAUAAGCCGGAGGAAGGUUAGGAUGACGUCAAGUCCUCAUGGCCCUUAUGACCAGGGCUACACAUGUACUACAAUGGAUGUGACAGAGGGAAGCGAAGCCGCGAGGUGAAGCUAAGCUCAGAAAAGCAUUCGUAGUCCGGAUUGGAGUCUGCAACUCGACUCCAUGAAGUUGGAAUCGCUAGUAAUCGCGGAUCAGAAUGCCGCGGUGAAUACGUUCCCGGGCCUUGUACACACCGCCCGUCACACCAUGGGAGUGGGUUGUACCAGAAGCGGGUAGGCUAACCGAAAGGAGGCCGCUCACCACGGUAUGAUUCAUGACUGGGGUGAAGUCGGAACAAGGUA
RNAcentral lists this ribosomal RNA (1507 nucleotides) under metagenome. RNAcentral describes it as "bacterial SSU rRNA". It matches the Rfam family "Bacterial small subunit ribosomal RNA". The record is from RNAcentral.